UCAAGCGUGAGGUAAGGGCAAUUCGUGGAUGCCUUGGCAUGCACAGGCGAUGAAGGACGUGGCACGCUGCGAUAAGCUGCGGUGAGGUGUGAGCAACCUUUGACCCGCAGAUUUCCGAAUGGGGAAACCCACCCUCACCAUUUAAUUUCGCCUCUGAGUGAUCAGGGACGGAGUUAAAUGGGAAGGGUAUCACUAAGCUGAAUACAUAGGCUUUGGUGAAGCGAACCCGGAGAACUGAAACAUCUCAGUACCCGGAGGAAAAGACAUCAACCGAGAUUCCGUGAGUAGUGGCGAGCGAAAGCGGAGUAGGCCAGUGCCUUCAAUUCAACUAGCAGAACGACCUGGAAAGGUCGGCCAUAGCGGGUGACAGCCCCGUAUGCGAAAGUGAGAUUGAAGGACUCGAGUAGGGCGGGACACGUGUAAUCCUGUCUGAACAUGGGGGGACCACCCUCCAAGCCUAAAUACUCGUGCAUGACCGAUAGUGAACUAGUACCGUGAGGGAAAGGUGAAAAGCACCCCGAUGAGGGGAGUGAAACAGUACCUGAAACGGAUUGCCUACAAGCAGUUGGAGGGUCCUUGAGGCCUGACAGCGUACCUCUUGCAUAAUGGGUCUGUGACUUAAUGUAUCAAGCAAGCUUAAGCCGAUAGGUGUAGGCGCAGCGAAAGCGAGUCUGAAUAGGGCGCCAUAGUUUGAUGCAUUAGACCCGAAACCCGGCGAUCUAGGCAUGACCAGGUUGAAGGUGCGGUAACACGCACUGGAGGACCGAACCGAUUAACGUUGAAAAGUUACCGGAUGAGUUGUGUUUAGGGGUGAAAGGCCAAUCAAGCCGGGAAAUAGCUGGUUCUCCGCGAAAACUAUUGAGGUAGUGCCUCGGAUGAAUACCCUAGGGGGUAGAGCACUGGAUGGAUGCGGGGGUCGCGAGAUCUACCAACUCUAACCAAACUCCGAAUACCUAGGAGUAAUAUCCGGGAGACAGACGGCGGGUGCUAAGGUCCGUCGUCAAGAGGGAAACAGCCCUGACCUACAGCUAAGGUCCCCAAGUCGUGUCUAAGUGGGAAAGCAUGUGGGAAUCCCAAAACAACCAGGAGGUUGGCUUAGAAGCAGCCAUCCUUUAAAGAAAGCGUAACAGCUCACUGGUCUAAUCAAGGGUUCCUGCGGCGAAGAUGUAACGGGGCUCAAGACACGCACCGAAGCUUAGGGUGUGCACUAUGUGCAUGCGGUAGCGGAGCGUUCCGUAAGCCUGUGAAGCGUCCUGGUAAUGGGGCGUGGAGGUAUCGGAAGUGCGAAUGCAGACAUGAGUAGCGAUAAACAGGGUGAGAUGCCCUGUCGCCGAAAGACCAAGGGUUCCUGCGCAAGGCUAAUCCGCGCAGGGUGAGUCGGACCCUAAGACGAGGCCGAAGGGCGUAGUCGAUGGGAAUCAGGUUAAUAUUCCUGAACCUGGGGAUGUGUGACGGAUCGCUUAAGUUGUAUCCUCUUAACGGAUUGAGGAUGCUUCGACGCGGUUCCAGGAAAUAGCCUCCCCGUACAGUCCGUACCCGAAACCGACACAGGUGGUCAGGUAGAGUAUACCAAGGCGCUUGAGAGAAGUGUGCUGAAGGAACUCGGCAAAUUGCCUCCGUACCUUCGGAAGAAGGAGGCCCCAUCUAUGCGCAAGCACUGAUGGGGGGCACAGGCCAGGGGGUAGCGACUGUUUAGCAAAAACACAGGGCUCUGCUAAGUCGGCUUCAAGACGACGUAUAGGGUCUGACGCCUGCCCGGUGCCUGAAGGUUAAGUGGAGAUGUGAAAGCAUCGAAAUGAAGCCCAGGUAAACGGCGGCCGUAACUAUAACGGUCCUAAGGUAGCGAAAUUCCUUGUCGGGUAAGUUCCGACCUGCACGAAUGGCGUAACGACUUCCCCACUGUCUCCAGCACAUGCUCAGCGAAAUUGAAUUCUCCGUGAAGAUGCGGAGUACCCGCGGUUAGACGGAAAGACCCCGUGCACCUUUACUGCAGCUUCAGAGUGGCAUUAGGAAAGAACUGUGUAGCAUAGGUGGGAGGCUUUGAAGCCAGGUCGCCAGAUCUGGUGGAGCCAUAGGUGAAAUACCACCCUGUUGUUUUCUGAUGUCUAACCUGCGCCCAUGAAACUGGGCGAGGGACCCUCUGUGGCGGGUAGUUUGACUGGGGCGGUCGCCUCCUAAA
This 2179-nucleotide ribosomal RNA is filed under the name metagenome. RNAcentral's name for it is "bacterial LSU rRNA". It matches the Rfam family "Bacterial large subunit ribosomal RNA", at positions 1 to 2294 of the family's 2925-position model. The record is from RNAcentral.